UCUGAUCCCAACAAUAUGUUGUAGAGUUGGGACCCAACACUGGUUAAUCCCUGUACUUGGUUUCUCUAUUUCAAACAGAUUUGUUUCUCUAUUUCUCUUUGAUGCAUAUUCACAAACAUAUGGUGUUCACAACCUAUCUCAACUCCAAACUCAUCCAAUUUCACACCCACCAACAUAUCAAAAUCAUUGAAACAAAAUAAAUGAAAUAGAAAACAAAACAUACAUCAAUAAAAUCAAGCGACCCUUGUAGCUACAAAAAUGAAAUCAAAAUCAAACAAACAUAAACUUGAGAAAAGAAAAAAACAGAGAUGAGCGAGCGAGAGAGAAACCUAUUUGUGAGAGGAAGAAAAGAUUGUGAUGAAUAGAAAGAAAAACUUACUUGUGAGAGAGCGCUACGUGUGGUGUGUGAGAGUGGCUGAGAGGGAGAGAGAGCGCUUGCGUCGUGUGCGUGAGAGGGAGAGAGCGUGUGCGUGAGAAUGGCUAAGUGAGGAAUUUUAAUUCCUUUAUUUUUUGUGAGAAUUUGAAAUUUUGCCAAAUUAAUAUAUUAAAAUGCUUUAAAAAAUGAUGACAUUUUAAUUACUUCUAAAAUAUCAUAUCCAAACAAAUUAUUUUAUAGGAAGACAUUUUAAUAUCCCUGUUGAAAUACUUUACCUGCUUUAAUUUCCCCAUCCAAACAUACUCUGAAUGAGUUCCCAUCGGAAUAAGUUGAUCCCUAAAUGAAGGGAUUAAUAGAUUAAAGAGAUUAGCAGGAAAAUUUAUCGCAAACCUAAAACUGAAUGGGAUUGUAAACCUACUAUGAGGGUCUCCGAGAGAAAUAGGAUUUACAGGGGAUAAAAACCACUAAAUUGAAUGUAACUGGUUAUAACCACAUGUUAGAAAAUAAGUGUUAGUUGUUAUUUACGAUUAAUUUUUGUAUUGAAUAGUUACAUAAAAUUAACAUGUUUUCUCCAAUUUAUGGUUCUUUGUGUAGGAAUUGUAAAUAUUUUCAUGUUUGGUUUGAUUUUAUAUAGUAGAUACUUCCAUUUUGUGAAUUAAUGUUGAAACCACUUCAAUUUCAUGCUAAAAGAAGAGAAGGUUCAAGCAGCUGGUGUCUCGCUAAGCGAGGCAUAUGCGCUUAGCGAAUGACAUCCGUUAAGCAAGGCACGCAGCUCGCUUAGCGUGUUGGAAAACCCUAGAAGAGAUCAGUUAGAGAUGUGCUCGCCCAACAUGCCACAACUCGUCCAGCAAGUCGUUUGUCUCUUCUCGCGCUCAGCACGCCCAGCUCACUAAGCCAAAUUUCACUAACUCGCGCUUAGCGAGCCAAUCUCGCUAAACGAGCCUUCAGAAUCUGAAACGUCAAGGAGCCUUUAAAACACUGAAGUUGACGGAAACUAAAAAAAGAGGAGUAAAAAAACAGAGCCAAAGGAGAAGCUAGAGCGACAAAAACGAAGCAACCAAGAGAGUCUAGGUUAGAGGAGUGAGAUUAGGGUUCUAGAAGUUGAAGGUGAGAUCCUCAACCAUCCUUAGCCAUUUUCUUCCCUCAAAAUCUGUCCUUUGUAUUGAAAGUUCAUUACUUGUAAUGGAAGGUUAAACCUUUUGGUCGGGGAGUUCUGUUGAACCUUUGAUGUAAUACUCUUUCACUAUCUAUUUAAUAUUAUUUUUAUGUGUUCAUUGUUUCUA
Molecule: long non-coding RNA, 1659 nt
Filed under: Glycine max (soybean)
Lineage: Eukaryota; Viridiplantae; Streptophyta; Magnoliopsida; Fabales; Fabaceae
Description: long non-coding RNA (GMAX_LNC003433)
Source: RNAcentral